Vanessa atalanta (red admiral) is the source of this 408-nucleotide long non-coding RNA. RefSeq lists it as uncharacterized. NCBI's taxonomy places the organism in Eukaryota, Metazoa, Arthropoda, Insecta, Lepidoptera, Nymphalidae. The transcript has 4 exons. The record is from RefSeq and is a predicted model, not a curated record.
GGCAAAGUUAACAUUCAUUUGUCUGAUUUUCCUGGUCAUCAUUGCCUGUGUGUUUGCAGCGCCGGGCCCACACAAAUUUGGCGGUGGCAAACGCGGCGGCCAUAGUGGAGGUGGAGGCUAUGGUAGAGGCGGUGGCUAUGGUGGAGGUGGAGGCUACGGUAGAGGCGGUAGCUAUGGUGGAGGCGGCGGAGGUGGCGGUGGCGGAGGUGGCGGUGGAUACUAGGCGGAGGCAGUGUUGGUAGCUCUGGCGAACGCUGGAGUUGCAGAUUAGCGCUUUAUAGAAUUUACUGACAUUCAGCAGAAUAUGACACCUCAGACGUCCUAAAGAAAAUUCAAGAUCAGUGUGAUAUUUACUAAAAAAAUCAGCUUGUUAAAAUUAUUGUAAAACAAAAAAAUAAACAUACCUUC